RNAcentral lists this ribosomal RNA (409 nucleotides) under uncultured bacterium. Its description in RNAcentral is "bacterial SSU rRNA". It matches the Rfam family "Bacterial small subunit ribosomal RNA", at positions 354 to 777 of the family's 1533-position model. The record is from RNAcentral.
GUGGGGAAUAUUGGGCAAUGGAGGGAACUCUGACCCAGCAACGCCGCGUGAGUGAAGAAGGUUUUCGGAUUGUAAAACUCUUUAAGCGGGGACGAAGAAAGUGACUGUACCCGCAGAAUAAGCAUCGGCUAACUACGUGCCAGCAGCCGCGGUAAUACGUAGGAUGCAAGCGUUAUCCGGAAUGACUGGGCGUAAAGGGUGCGUAGGUGGUUUGCCAAGUUGGCAGCGUAAUUCCGUGGCUUAACCGCGGAACUACUGCCAAAACUGGUAGGCUUGAGUGCGGCAGGGGUAUGUGGAAUUCCUAGUGUAGCGGUGGAAUGCGUAGAUAUUAGGAGGAACACCGGUGGCGAAAGCGACAUACUGGGCCGUAACUGACACUGAGGCACGAAAGCGUGGGGAGCAAACAGGA